Parelaphostrongylus tenuis is the source of this 74-nucleotide non-coding RNA. NCBI's taxonomy places the organism in Eukaryota, Metazoa, Nematoda, Chromadorea, Rhabditida, Metastrongylidae. The record is from the annotation of a GenBank genome assembly.
GACCUCUGUGGUGUGAACGGUUGCGCGCACUCCCGGUAUGAGUGGAACGCGGGUUCAAUUCCCGCAUAAGGUCA